This 77-nucleotide transfer RNA is filed under the name Sphaerodactylus townsendi. RNAcentral's name for it is "tRNA-Ala". It matches the Rfam family "tRNA". From Rfam's summary of the family: Transfer RNA (tRNA) molecules are approximately 80 nucleotides in length. The record is from RNAcentral. Lineage: Eukaryota; Metazoa; Chordata; Lepidosauria; Squamata; Sphaerodactylidae.
GGAGAAGGGCUGUGGCUCUGCGGUAGAGCCUCUACCUGGCAUUCAGAAUGUCCUAGGUUCAGCCCCUAGCAUCUCCA